GACGAACGCUGGCGGCGUGCUUAACACAUGCAAGUCGAACGGAAAGGCCCUGCUUUUGUGGGGUGCUCGAGUGGCGAACGGGUGAGUAACACGUGAGUAACCUGCCCUUGACUUUGGGAUAACUUCAGGAAACUGGGGCUAAUACCGGAUAGGAGCUCCUGCUGCAUGGUGGGGGUUGGAAAGUUUCGGCGGUUGGGGAUGGACUCGCGGCUUAUCAGCUUGUUGGUGGGGUAGUGGCUUACCAAGGCUUUGACGGGUAGCCGGCCGGAGAGGGUGACCGGCCCCAUUGGGACUGAGAUCCGGCCCAGACUGCUACGGGAGGCAGUAGUGGGGAAGAUGUGACGAUGGGCGGAAGCCUGAUGCAGCAACGCCGCGUGCGGGAUGACGGCCUUCGGGUUGUAGUCCGCUUUCGCCUGUGACGAAGCGUGAGUGACGGUAAUGGGUAAAGAAGCACCGGCUAACUACGUG
RNAcentral lists this ribosomal RNA (468 nucleotides) under uncultured bacterium. Its description in RNAcentral is "partial 16S ribosomal RNA". It matches the Rfam family "Bacterial small subunit ribosomal RNA", at positions 28 to 507 of the family's 1533-position model. The record is from RNAcentral.